UCAGAGCCCUGGUUUGAGGGAAAUCAAGUAUGAGGAGGCAAAUACUUGAACUCAAACCUGUGUGCUCUUGUGACGAGGAACCCGUACAAUCCAAGACUCGAUCAAGAUCUAAAGGUAGAAGCAAAUGUAAGUAUGAAUUUAAGUAUGUUUAUGAAGAAACUAACAUUAUGUUGUGUGUAAGAUAAGCAUAGUUGUUUGGAUGAGGAUGAUCCACGACUGUGGUCUCGGACUGACACCAAGGCAUGUAAUAAGACCAUUGCCCAGGUCAGUGAAAGAAUGUUCAUAAGCGAAAGCUCGUCACACGGAUGAACGAGGUCAAUACGAAACAUGGUAUGGAUGGGGACGAAGAGGACCGACUCGUUGCUGCAUGUUCAAGUACUGCACCAAGGUAGUAAGGUUAGCAAAUUAUUUAAUAUAUGAAGGUACGAUGCUCGAAUCCCUCAAACCUACGCUCUCGUGAAAGUGUGUUCGUUUCUAAGCGCCACGCAAGUAAGUGAUUUAAGGAUUUCGAGCUAUGCUUUUAGAUGAAAACGGAAAUGGGUUAUGGAUAAAUUACUAUUAUAACCUGGGUUGGGACGUUAUGGGAUGUUAGGGAAGGUUUCGGGACUGCCCGAGACCAUUUCUGGUUGGAAAAAGGACCCGGGAACAAAAAAAUUUUUGGUCAAACAGCGUCUGCACACCAGAGAGCCCGUCGGCGACGGCCUUUAUGCCGUCGGCGACGGCACCCCUCCACCUGACGCGCUAACUGUCUGUCUACGGGCAAUGUUUAGCGACGGGACCUUCCCGAGCCCGUCGGUGACGCACCAUGUGCCGUCGGCGACGGGUCCCCCUUAUCUGCUUAUGCUGAAAUUGUUUGUUUAUUAGGCUAAGGUCCUUAAUUCAGUUCUAGCAUUCAUUAAACAUUAGGAACACCCCAAGUUGAUUAUGAAGCUAAGAAAUUCAAGACAACUAUCAUGUUUUAAUGAUGUAUGUGCGGGAAGUUAUGUAUGCGAAUGAAUGAAAUAAGUAACACGUCUAGAAGGUUUGUAAAGAAAGAUUGGAUGAGUUUAUGAAAAUUU
Molecule: long non-coding RNA, 1058 nt
Organism: Helianthus annuus (common sunflower)
Lineage: Eukaryota; Viridiplantae; Streptophyta; Magnoliopsida; Asterales; Asteraceae
Exons: 2
Source: RefSeq, a predicted model, not a curated record